GGGUCAGUAGGCUGGUCGUGCCACCGGUACGUACUGGUCUCACUGAUUCCUCCUUCCUGAAGAACCGUAAUGCCACUAAUUUGGUGUUGCGGGGAAACAGGACUGUUACUUUGAAGAAAUUAGAGUGUUUAAAGCAAGCUAACGCUUGAAUACAUUAGCAUGGAAUAAUGAAAUAGGACGAUCGAUCCUAUUUUGCUGGUUUCUAGGAUUGACGUA
RNAcentral lists this ribosomal RNA (216 nucleotides) under Glomeromycotina sp. RNAcentral's name for it is "partial small subunit ribosomal RNA". The stretch from base 87 to 216 matches the Rfam family "Eukaryotic small subunit ribosomal RNA", at positions 733 to 864 of the family's 1831-position model. The record is from RNAcentral. Lineage: Eukaryota; Fungi; Glomeromycota.